GACUAAUAUAGGUAAGGAAAGUCGGCAAAUUAGAUCCAUAACUUCGGAAUAAGGAUUGGCUCUGAGGAGCGGGGCGUGUCGGGCUUGGUCGGCAAGCGGGUUUGGCUGACGUGUCGGGCCUGGGCGAGGUGACGUUCCGGUGUUCUCGCGCCGGGUCCGGGAUCCGAGCUUGGUCCCGUGCUUUGACCUUCCGCGGAUCUUCCUUGCUGCGAGGCUUCUGUGGCGGCGCGAGCCGUCGUGGUCGUCCUCUUCGGCCGCCAUUCAACGCUCAGUUCAGAACUGGCACGGACUGGCAGGGGAAUCCAACUGUUUAAUUAAAACAAAGCAUUGCGAUGACCCUUGAGGGUGUUGACGCAAUGUAAUUUCUGCCCAGUGCUCUGAAUGUCAACGUGAAGAAAUUCAAGCAAGCGCGGGUAAACGGCGGGAGUAACUAUGACUCUCUUAAGGUUAUGGUUGCUUAGGGACUGUCUCCUCUCCCGAUAUUACCAUCAGUGGGUACUUGGAGCAGUCACCUCAAAAACUCUUAAAGGAUUGGAUACGUAUUAGUACACACUGCGGUGCGUCGAUGACUGCGAUUUCCCCAUGUUCCUGGAUACUUUCAUGCGCCGAUACAGAGUGGCGGGCUUGGCAUGCCUCUACUCAAAGUUUUUAUCCCUAUCUUGAAGCAUAACCGACUGCAGCGGCUCUGCAGAAGUACUCUGCCUGCGGCAAGCACCGCUGCCGAAUCCACCUAUGUGGCUAGGCAGUUGGUGUGGUGCGAGAACCAAAUGAGGAUUCGCGGCCAUAGAGUUACCUCGGCUGCUGAGCUCAGACAGCAGUGUGCAGCCUGGUUGCGCGAGUCGUGUAAUGGGAACGGGCUCAGGGAGGUCGAGUCGUCCAAACUGAGCUCAUAUUGGGUCGCACAUGGUGCCUACGCCAUAUCCGGAGCCGAUUACGUGCACUAUCACUAUACGGUGCACGGGCUAACUGCAUCCGUCUCGAGUGACUCUCCCGAGGUCGUGAUGGGCGCGAUAGGUUCGCUGUAGGGCCGGAUGUCCCGAAAGAGACUCCGGCUCAUUGCGUUCAGCGCUGCUUCAGAACGCACGGAGGAAGGAUCCUGCGACACAACGACCUGUGUCGUCAAGUUGGCCAAAUGCCUCGUCAUCUAAUUAGUGACGCGCAUGAAUGGAUUAACGAGAUUCCCGCUGUCCCUAUCUAUUUUU
Molecule: non-coding RNA, 1202 nt
Filed under: Acromyrmex echinatior (Panamanian leafcutter ant)
Lineage: Eukaryota; Metazoa; Arthropoda; Insecta; Hymenoptera; Formicidae
Description: Eukaryotic large subunit ribosomal RNA
Rfam family: Eukaryotic large subunit ribosomal RNA
Source: Rfam by way of RNAcentral